AGUGUGCUAAGAUUUUGACCUGGUGUGAGGGCCGCAGGAGACAUUCUGGGGGCAGACGGAGGUGUAGACAGCAUCUCCAUUUCUCCUGUCCAGGGAGUGACCAGUGACAAUGAACCAGCGUCGGUCGGAUGUGCCCGUUUCUGCUCUGCACCUCCUC
Long non-coding RNA from Nothoprocta perdicaria, 157 nucleotides. RefSeq lists it as uncharacterized. The transcript is spliced from 2 exons. Lineage: Eukaryota; Metazoa; Chordata; Aves; Tinamiformes; Tinamidae. The record is from RefSeq and is a predicted model, not a curated record.